UACGUAGGGGGCAAGCGUUGUCCGGAUUUAUUGGGCGUAAAGAGCGUGUAGGCGGCUAGGUAGGUCCGUUGUGAAAACUCGAGGCUCAACCUCGAGACGUCGAUGGAAACCAUCUAGCUAGAGUCCGGAAGAGGAGAGUGGAAUUCCUGGUGUAGCGGUGAAAUGCGCAGAUAUCAGGAGGAACACCGGUGGCGAAGGCGGGUCUCUGGGCCGAUAUUGACGCUGAGGAGCGAAAGCGUGGGGAGCGAACAGG
This 253-nucleotide ribosomal RNA is filed under the name uncultured bacterium. Its description in RNAcentral is "partial 16S ribosomal RNA". It matches the Rfam family "Bacterial small subunit ribosomal RNA", at positions 524 to 776 of the family's 1533-position model. The record is from RNAcentral.